GUGAGCAGAAUAGAAUAAAACAACCUUAGUUUCAGCUGAAACGAUAACUCUCUGUAGUCUUUUUUCCCCUUUCUCAUUCUUACAAGAUUUUCUCUCUCUAGAUUUUCUCAGAUCCCUGUCUCAAAUGUAUCUUCGCCAAAUGUCACUUAAAUUUGGACUAAAAUACAUUUUGCAUCCCAAUUUUAUAACAAAAUUGAGAUUUACAUCCUAAUAUUUAAAACAUGCGUAAUUACAUCCUAAUGUUUAAUUAAUGUAACAAAAGACCGGGAAUUCAAGUUUCUCUUUAUUUUAGAAAAAAAUAGAUAAGCCAAUAAAUCUACCAUGAGAAAUCAUUUAAACCUUCCGAAAUUUUGCCGGAGGCGCAAGACACCGAUAUAUUCAAUAUAAUAACAUUAAAACUAAUAUUAAAUAAAUAAAUAAGACAAAAAAGUAAUUAAUUAAACCUCACUAUUUUUUCUCUCUAUACUCACGUUCAUCUUCUUCAUCCAUCUUCAAACCCCAACCCAAACUCACGGUGCACAAAUUUUUCCUAUUCUCCAACUUUCCAUCAAAACCCAUGGCAUCAUAAUCCCUAAAUCUCGAAAUUACUUCCCAACUUUGUAAUAUUCCUGGAAGCAUUAUCAACUGCAAUUGAAUCUCAAUCUGAAGCUUCUCAAACGAAACAUAAAUGGAGAGACUCAAUUCAUAAUCAUCUUCUAUAGUAGGUUCUCAUUUUAAUGAUGGGGAAGAUUUAACAAGGGUUUAACAAGAAAAGCACAAUUCUCGCCUUAGCCCUAAUUGCAGAAUUUUUCAAAUCAAUUGGCGACUCCGUAGUAAUCAAAUCUUCGUCGUGAUAUAUUUUGUUGAAUUUAACCCGGGUUGGGUUAGGGGAACAUCCGAGCGAUUGCCUUCGCGGAUCCAAACG
Molecule: long non-coding RNA, 904 nt
Filed under: Panax ginseng (ginseng)
Lineage: Eukaryota; Viridiplantae; Streptophyta; Magnoliopsida; Apiales; Araliaceae
Description: long non-coding RNA (PGIN_LNC009415)
Source: RNAcentral